This 498-nucleotide ribosomal RNA is filed under the name uncultured bacterium. RNAcentral's name for it is "partial 16S ribosomal RNA". It matches the Rfam family "Bacterial small subunit ribosomal RNA", at positions 28 to 507 of the family's 1533-position model. The record is from RNAcentral.
GACGAACGCUGGCGGCGUGCCUAAUACAUGCAAGUCGAACGGGAGCGACCGGUGCUUGCACUGGUCAAUCUAGUGGCGAACGGGUGAGUAACACGUGGGUAACCUGCCCAUCAGAGGGGGAUAACAUCCGGAAACGGAUGCUAAAACCGCAUAGGUCUUCGAGCCGCAUGGCUUGAAGAGGAAAAGAGGCGCAAGCUUCUGCUGAUGGAUGGACCCGCGGUGCAUUAGCUAGUUGGUGAGGUAACGGCUCACCAAGGCCGUGAUGCAUAGCCGACCUGAGAGGGUGAUCGGCCACAUUGGGACUGAGACACGGCCCAAACUCCUACGGGAGGCAGCAGUAGGGAAUCUUCCGCAAUGGACGCAAGUCUGACGGAGCAACGCCGCGUGAGUGAAGAAGGUUUUCGGAUCGUAAAACUCUGUUGUUAGAGAAGAACAAGUGCUAGAGUAACUGUUAGCGCCUUGACGGUAGCUAACCAGAAAGCCACGGCUAACUACGUG